UGGAGAGGUAUAUUUUAUGAUUGUACCUCAUCAAUGGGUACUUCUGUUUGAGGAUUAUCUUGUGCUUCUAUUUAUAGGUCUUGAACUUCUUCAAGUUUAAUUUUCUUUCCAUUGCCCCAUACUAGGAUAAAUUUCUUCUCUAUAAAAGUGGUAUGUUUACUAACAAACACCUUUUGUGUAGUAGGAUGGUAAAAGAGAUAACCCAUACUCUCUUUAGGAUAACC
This 224-nucleotide long non-coding RNA is filed under the name Elaeis guineensis (African oil palm). RNAcentral describes it as "long non-coding RNA (EGUI_LNC073374)". The record is from RNAcentral. Lineage: Eukaryota; Viridiplantae; Streptophyta; Magnoliopsida; Arecales; Arecaceae.